AGGAGUUUGAUCCUGGCUCAAGGACGAACGCUGGCGGCGUGCUUAACACAUGCAAGUCGAACGGAAAGGCCCCUGCUUGCAGGGGUACUCGAGUGGCGAACGGGUGAGUAACACGUGGGUGAUCUGCCCUUCACUUCGGGAUAAGCCUGGGAAACUGGGUCUAAUACCGGAUAGGACCAAUCUUUAGUGUGGUUGGUGGAAAGUUUUUUCGGUGGAGGAUGAGCCCGCGGCCUAUCAGCUUGUUGGUGGGGUAAUGGCCUACCAAGGCGACGACGGGUAGCCGGCCUGAGAGGGUGGACGGCCACAUUGGGACUGAGACACGGCCCAGACUCCUACGGGAGGCAGCAGUGGGGAAUAUUGCACAAUGGGCGGAAGCCUGAUGCAGCGACGCCGCGUGAGGGGUGACGGCCUUCGGGUUGUAAACCUCUUUCGCUAGGGAAGAAGCCUUCGGGUGACGGUACCUGGAUAAGAAGCACCGGCUAACUACGUG
RNAcentral lists this ribosomal RNA (490 nucleotides) under uncultured Corynebacterium sp. RNAcentral describes it as "bacterial SSU rRNA". It matches the Rfam family "Bacterial small subunit ribosomal RNA", at positions 1 to 507 of the family's 1533-position model. The record is from RNAcentral. Lineage: Bacteria; Bacillati; Actinomycetota; Actinomycetes; Mycobacteriales; Corynebacteriaceae.